GUGAAGGCGAUGAUGUUGAAAAACUACCUAUUUUAUGAAGGAAUUGAGAAUUUUCCUUUAUGAUUAGAAAAUUACCAAUGGAUCCUUCUGAGCCUUCCAUUUCUAUUCUCUUGAAUGAUUUUUUUUUUCGUUUUAUUUGCUGUGUUUUUUCAUUUCACUAUGAAAAUUGCUGUAUAUUUUCGAUUUUGAAAGAGCUAUUGAGGUGAUGAUGAUACUGAUCCGAAUUUAUAAUGUUGAUCGUUAAAUAUCAGACUACAAUUAUCUGAUCAAUU
Molecule: long non-coding RNA, 272 nt
Filed under: Medicago truncatula (barrel medic)
Lineage: Eukaryota; Viridiplantae; Streptophyta; Magnoliopsida; Fabales; Fabaceae
Source: RNAcentral